GUCCUUCGGGAUCCUACGUCCUCUCUCUCGAACUCGCAUGUCUACAGAAUGUGUAUGUCGGUCGACGACCGCGAACCUUUGUACAACUUUCAGCAAUGGAUCUCUUGGCUCUCGCAUCGAUGAAGGACGCAGCGAAUCGCGAUAAGUAAUGUGAAUUGCAGAUUUUCCGUGAAUCAUCGAAUCUUUGAACGCACCUUGCGCUCCCCGGUAUUCCGGGGAGCAUGCCUGUUUGAGUGUCAUCGAAAUCUCGAACCGACGCCUUCGAUCCGCUCGAAGCUCGGUCUCGGAACGUGGGGGUCUGCGGGCGGCGACGUCGGCUCCCCUCAAACGCAUCAGCUGUGGGCGCGAGCCCUGCGUGGCACGGCCUCCUCGACGUCGUAACGAUCGUCGCGGGCUGGAAGCGCACGGAUCGACGGUCCCAUGCUUUCCAACCUCUCGUGGGACGACCGCGAGCGUAUCGAAGCUUGACCUCAAAUCAGGUAGGACUACCCGCCGAACUUAAGCAUAUCAAUAAGCGGAGGAAAAGAAACUAACGAGGAUUCCCCUAGUAACUGCGAGUGAAGCGGGAAGAGCUC
Molecule: ribosomal RNA, 575 nt
Filed under: uncultured fungus
Lineage: Eukaryota; Fungi
Description: eukaryotic LSU rRNA
Rfam family: 5.8S ribosomal RNA (bases 85-239)
Source: RNAcentral